AGUGAACGCUGGCGGUAGGCCUAACACAUGCAAGUCGAACGGCAGCACAGUAAGAGCUUGCUCUUACGGGUGGCGAGUGGCGGACGGGUGAGGAAUACAUCGGAAUCUACUUUUUCGUGGGGGAUAACGUAGGGAAACUUACGCUAAUACCGCAUACGACCUACGGGUGAAAGCAGGGGAUCUUCGGACCUUGCGCGAUUGAAUGAGCCGAUGCCGGAUUAGCUAGUUGGCGGGGUAAAGGCCCACCAUGGCGACGAUCCGUAGCUCGUCUGAGAGGAUGGUCGGCGGCACUGGAGCUGGGACACGGUCAUGGGGCCUGCGAGAGGGAGCAGUCGGGAAUGUUGGGCAGUAGGCGCGAGCCUGAUACAGCCAUACCGCGUCGGUGAAGGAGACCUUCGGGUUGUGAAGCCCUUUUGUUGGGAGAGAAAAGCAGCAGGUUAAUACCCAGCUGUUCUGACGGUACCCGAAGAAUAAGCACCGGCUAACUUCGUG
This 492-nucleotide ribosomal RNA is filed under the name uncultured bacterium. Its description in RNAcentral is "partial 16S ribosomal RNA". It matches the Rfam family "Bacterial small subunit ribosomal RNA", at positions 29 to 507 of the family's 1533-position model. The record is from RNAcentral.